GUGGUAACGCGGAAGUGCGCCGGGCCGUGGAGCGGCUGCGAGCGCGGGUCGAGGUGAGCCGGGCAGGGCUGCGCUCCGCUCCGCUCCGCUCCGCUCCACUCCACUCUGCUCGGUGUCCCGCGUCGGCCUCCUCCGCGCGGAUGGCGGCGGCGGCGGAGGCGGCGGCUGAGCCGCUGGUGAGCGGCCUGGCGCGGCUGCUGCAGGACACAGGAGACCUGGUCCUGGACGGCUCCAGCACGCUGACGCUGCUCACCCCCACGCUGCAGCACCUGACGCGGGUCUUCGAGCAGCACCUGGGCUCCCGCAACCAGCACCGCGGCUUCGUGGCCCUGCCCUCGCACCCGGCCGAGACCACCGCCAUCCUCCAGGCGCAGUUCCUCUUCGACAUGCUGCAGAAAACGCACUCCCUCAAGCUCAUUCAUGUUCCAAACUGUGCUCUACAAUCUACUGUGAAGAUAUUCCCUUUCAAGUCCCUCCGGCAUCUGGAAUUGAGGUCUGUCCCUCCGCAUUGCCUCCGGGGUCUGCGAUUUGUCUAUUCUCAGCUGGAAUCUUUAACCUGCUCCAAAUGCGUCAGUACACUGGAGGAAAUCAUUUCAGCAUGUGGUGGAGAUCUGAGCUGUGCUCUCCCCUGGUUGGAACUGCAGACGGUCAACUUCAGCUAUAACUCCAUCACUGCCUUGGAUGACUCACUGCAAUUACUGAAUGCACUUAGAGUCUUGGAUUUGAGUCACAACAAGGUCCAAGAUUGUGAGCACUAUUUAACGACCCUUUCAGAACUUGAGUACCUCAAUCUGGCUUAUAACUUCCUGUCCAAAGUGCCAAACCUUGGCAUCUUCAGCCAAUCCAAGCUGCUGACUCUGAUCUUGCGCAACAACGAACUUGACAGCAUUAAUGGGGUUGAACAGCUGGUGAAUCUUCAGCACCUGGAUGUGGCCUAUAACCUGCUGCUGGAACAUGCCCAGUUGGCACCACUGUCCACUCUACACUAUUUAAAUAAACUGCAUCUAGAGGGAAACCCAUUAUGGUUCCAUCAAAACCACCGAUCUGCAACCCUUGUACACGUAUCUCCCAGGGCAGCCUCCUCCAAUUUCCUCUUGGAUGGAGAGCCACUUUCUUCCUCGGACCUAAUGCACCUUCCAAAAUUAGUGCCAAGUGUGUCACAGUCCAUCCACACUUCUACCUCAGAGAAGACCAUACUGGACCGUAAUGCAUUGGACAGUUCCUGUGCUGCAGACUUCAGUGACAGCCAGUCCCCAGCUGAGAAUGUGGCUGUGAGGCUCCCUCGAAAGAAAGGCAAGGGAAAAGUCAAAGUGCGAAGAGCAAGCAUUUCAGAGCCCAGUGACACAGAACAUGAAUCACAGGCUUUACCUUUCUCUGCUGGUCUGGUUCUACAGCAUCAGAAGGAGAUGGAGCGCAUGGACAGCUUCAGAGAUCGCUUUGGUGUUGACUGGCUGCAGUACAAGAGACUGGAGGAGCAUGACCAAGUACCUGUCAUCUGCCGUAGCCGUUCCGCUGAUGAGACCACAGGCAGGCCUGCAGAAGUGGAUUUGCAGAGUGAGAGCUUUGACCCAAAACAAGUAAAACCCCAAUUAUCCCCAAAAGAAUCCUCUCCUGCUUUCCACAAUGCUGGGGCAGAAGAAGAACCUGAAGUACAGCCAGGUGAGCCUCCGGGAGGAGAACAGAGAGAAGAGGAGGCAGAUGAGCUAAUGUUGGGAGAGGAAGAAGAUGAGAAGCCAGAAGUGGACCUUUGCCAGCCAGUGCUUGUGAGCCAAAUAGAAGGUGAAGGAGACCCAGAGUCAGACUGGAUCUUCCUGCGGGUCACAGCUAGGCAUGUGAUUGAGGUGGAACUGAAAGCUGCCAGAGUCCUCCACAAGCUGGAGUUGAAAUGCUUGCAGAAGAUAGAGACCUCUGAGAUGACCUGGAAGAGGAUGGAUCUGGAGCGAGUUUUCCCUGUCCUUACAUUGCACUUCACCUACAUUCGCAAGGACCGGCAGAAGCGCAAAUAUGUGGUGCUGGAUGACUGUCCGGAGCAGUGUCUGCAGUGUGUGCUUGAAGUGUUGUCCCCAGUUGUGGAAGAGAAUUGGCGAAAUCAGGACCAGGAGAAGGAAUCCCUGAGGCUCCAGUGUCUGAAAUGCAAACAUGAGUUUUUGCAGUCCCUGGCUCCCUGGCAGCAAGGUCCUUAUCCUGCAGAGACUGGAGACACCAAAAAUUUGGAGACACUAGUUGCCUUAAAUCAAGAUGCUUCAGCAGCUGGUGAACCCAUAGCCUGUCCCAGUUGUUCCAGUGACCACGUGGUAAUCCUGCCUUCAGAAGUAAGCUCCAGCACGCCUGUGCCACCCAGCCACGAUGGCACAAGUGAGGACCUGUCAGACUCUGCCCUGGAGGGAGGCAGCCAGCAGGAGGGCCCAGAGGAAGUGCCUGCUCUGCCCAGGGAGAGUGGGAAGUUCUACAUCGGUGGGGAAGACAGCUUGGAGAUGGAUACCAGCAACAGCACCAGGACCCCAGAGCUGAGUGGCGAGCAUGACAGCACUAUCCAGUCCAGCUCCCACAGUACAGAUGGAGGCUAUGGGAAGAAGGAGCAGGGCAUGAAGAGCCAGUACUUGUCCCUCAGCCACAGAGACACCAAUGGGGGCAGCUUGAUGGGGAGUAACCGUUACAGUGCUUCUCGUGGACCCACUUCUUCACAGCUCUCUAUGACCUCUGACUCAGAGGAAACAUGGAACCUCAGUCCCUCUGCAAACAGCGCGCUGAACAAAAGGGACUUCCGUUCUGUGGAUCAUCGCCUGAAGCUGUACCUGGAUAUGGAGGUCUUUGAGGAGAAUGAUGAGGAGUUCCAGUGCUUCCUCAAGGUAACCAUGGUGAAGUUUGGCCGACAAGGAGAGUUCCUCUCAAUUCUGGUUGCCUCUAACCUCAGGAUCUAUGUGCUGGAAGUUACUGGGGUUAUCAGGGGACAACCUGCAGACUGGCUGAAGAAGGAUGACUCUCACUACCUGUCUGAUAUUUCCCAUCUGGAAGUGGGACUUUGCCACCAGAGCUUGCGAAUGGAGUUUGAGAACCCAAAAGCCUCCUACAAUCUGCUGAUCCGGAGCCAAAGUUGCUGUGACCAGUUCCUGCAGACCCUGACAUAUCUCAUGCAAGAGCUGCCUUCCAAGCACAGGAGUAAGGUGAAGGAAAUCCCCGCUGUGGAAAUGAAUCCUCAACAUUGGCUCUGGCCUCUGCUGGACUCCAAGAACACUGAUUCUGCAGCUGCAGGUGGCACUUGUUUCUUCUACCUGCUGGCCUACCUGAUUCAAGAGUACAGUGCCCCAAAGUGGACACAGUUCAAGCUGAGGCCUUGCUGCCAAAUAGACAGGACUAAUUGAACAGCCCAUCUCUGAUUCUCCUACUAAUUCCCAAGAGUGAAAUGUGACAAGAAAAGCAACAUGCUGCUGUAGCAGUUUGUGAUUCCCUGUAACCUCAGCCAGUUCCGUGCAUCUGACUUAUUCCAAAAUUCUAGUGAUUUUCAUUUGCAUCCACUGGAAGCAACUGGGUGAUAUUUAUACUCCCUCCAAAACUGUCCUGAUUUCUGCUGUAUUUAUGACAUGUCCCACCUUUGUAUUUAACUUUAUUUACACCGUGUUCCAUCCAUCAGCUCUACAGGAAGGCAAAUUCAGGCCAAAAAAAGGUGGCCUUUUAGCUGGAGCUGCUGACUUUUAAAUAAGGAAUAGCAGGUUGUUGAAGAGGUCAGAGUACUGAAGUUCCUUUUCCUGCCUCACAUGAGGAUACUGGCUGGACAAGGCUAGCUGGGUGUCAGUCUUUUGUGUGCAUGCUCUAACAAUGAGCUUGGUCAAACCCAGGUACAUUUAUCUACCCUUCUUUAGUCUGGAAGCUGGAUACUGCUGUUCACCCAGUUACUGUUGCUGGAAAGGAUUUCCCUAGGGAAGGAGUGGAAAGCAAAGCUGGUUCUGUGGUGACUCAGGCUCCGAGCAAAGCCUCUCAUUCCCUCGUAUCCUUUUAGGGGCAUCUGCUUCCCCUGUGACCCUGCUGAGCACACGAAGCAUGCUGUUUCUGCUGGAAGAAAAUCACCAGUGGCAGGUGCAACCCCCCUUGGAUGCAGACCAUGGGGCAGAGAUGCCUUCCAGGAGCAACAUCCAGUUGAAGGAGAAGCAGCCGAUCACCAGUAUUAGCAGUGUCAUAACCUAUCGCCUCUGUCCUUGCGACAUCAAGUUGAUGCUUUAUGAUGAGGUGCUGAAGGUGGAGAGCACUUGGCACAUCCGCACAGAGUGCCCCGAGCUCCUGGUAGAGCUGGUGGAGUGGAUCCGCAGGCCCUGGGAGGAGAUGUUCUCUAUUGAGCUACGGAGAGCUGUGUAUGAGGGACUGGAGUGAGCUUGCCAGCUGUGGGCAGGCAGGACCUGGAGUCACGAGUGCUGCUGUGCUGGCAGUGGUGCACAAACGUGUCCCCUCCCACCUGAUCUUGCUGUCCUGUGGCCUUUGCUUUCUACUCUAGUCUUGCCCCUGACCCUUUCUGGUGAGGAGGAGGGGAGCACACAAUGGUCCAGACUUUGCACAGUCACUCACCUGCACUGGGCUGGCCGUGGAAGGAGGCGGUUGGAGAUGUUCCUUGUAAUGCUGUGUAAGCUACACAGAAUUUUAACUUGGUGGUGUUUGCUAGUCUCCUUCGGGAUAGUACGAAGUGUUACUGAAGAGGGGAGCUGAGCCAGAGAGUGUUCAAUGGGCUGCGGUGUGUCUCAGGCAAAUCAGCAGGCCGGAGGCAGUUGGAUGCUGUGGUCUUUCUAGCAGAUGUAUUUGCUGCCUUCCUAGCUGUCUCAGAACAGCUGCCAGUGUCUGCUGAUGAUUCUUUCUUUUCUUUUUCUUUCUCCCUCUUCUUUUAUCCACAGCUUCCCAAAAGCUCCCUGCUUCAAACAGGAGCUUGACUGCACAAAGGGAUAAGGCAUAUGUUGUACUCUUAACCCCACAGAGAGCCCUUACCUGCCUGCCUGGCAGGGCAUGGCUCAGUCUGCUGCUGUAGUCCUUCACUGUCACUGGGGAGGGAGGGGAGCUGGGAGGCUCUGCCCACAGAAGUGUGUUGCUCAUUACUUAGGGGGUCAGGACCCUCACAGACACUGGCACGUAAAAGCGAGGCUUAGGCUUUUCUGAGCAGUCCAAAAGUAAGAGUCUAUUUUAACAUGAGUUUUACUAUUUUCUAUUGUAAUAAAAAAGCUUAUAUUUAUUGAA
RNA transcript from Gallus gallus (chicken), 5214 nucleotides. It is a transcript of the gene named serine/threonine kinase 11 interacting protein, with no coding region annotated. The transcript is spliced from 24 exons. Lineage: Eukaryota; Metazoa; Chordata; Aves; Galliformes; Phasianidae. The record is from RefSeq and is marked validated.